GUCACAACACCAGCUGAACCUCACUGUGGCCAUCAAACAAUCUUCAUGAAAACGUUCAUGCGGCAGAUGUUCAGACUCUGGCUGGAUCCGGAAUCGCAGGCCACACGGUCGCUCAGCUGGAAGAUUCCAAACAGUUUUGUGGUGAGACCAGGCCUUGCAGUGACAUUCUCCUCGGAACUCUCGGAACUCUCGGAACUCUCGGAACUGUCGUCAGAAAAUCCAGCUGGCCGCCUGAGUGCCGCAACAUGGGAUCUCUUUCCCCUUCCGCCGGGACGACCAGGUCUUCCUCCUGGACGACCAGGUCUUCCCCCUGGUCUUUCAUUGGGUCGUUGUUGUGGUCUGAGAGGGGGUCUCACUGGAGGUCUGGGGUCUUCUUGGAUGGUGGUGACCAGGCUGGUGUCGAACUUCGACACACGCUCCACAGAACAAACGACUGAAAGAAAGACAGAAACACUCUUGGCUUACAUUUGUAUCAUUACCAGUUGUCAACUGACAGCGUUUACCCUUGCAACACUUACUUUGGGCGAUGAGCGAAUUUGCAGUUGUAUUUUCAGGCACAGUUACGUUUCCAGGCACAGUUACGUUUCCAGCCACAGUUACAUUUCCAGGCACAGUCACGUUUCCAGGCCCAGUCACACUUCCAGGCCCAUUCGUGACAGUUGCAGGUCCAUUUCCUCCCUGAUUUCUCCCCAGUGCCGCCUCGAGUUGGGAUUUCAGCUCACAUUUACUGAGAAUCCGUCCCUCACUCGCACUGGAGAGCAGAAGAACCAGAGCCAACACGGCCAACAUCUUCACCUUCAUCUCUCUCUGGAGAUUAAACAGAGCAAUGGAAAAAUCCAAAUUAAACAAUCCUAAUCUGCGGUUUACCUCAGAAAACAGUCCAUUCUCUUCAUACAGUGCUUGCAAUGAAGGAACAUAAUCACUAAUGCAGCCAGCAAUCUUCUGGAUUUGUUCUCAGGAAAAAUGUGCAAAAAUGUGCCUUUAGCUUGUCAUUGGGUUAAUGCUUGGUCUUGACCACCCAGACUCUAGCCUUGGAAAACUGUCAGAAAAAGUGCUUGUCACUGGGUCAAUAGGGAUAUCUUUGUACCUUAUUCCCCCCUAAAAGGUUCAUAGUGGUAUUUUAAGGAUACAUAUUACCACUUUAAGGUACUAAUAUGAACAUUUAAUGAGCAGAUAACAUACAACGAUGCCUUUUUAAGGGUAUUAGCCCAGUGCCAAGCAAUUUUUCUGACAGUUUUCCAAGGCUAAAGUUUGGGUGGUCGAGACCAAGUAGAUUAUUAAAAUUACAAACAUGCUUUUUUUUAAAUCAUUAUACCCUUUAGCAAUGCAAUUGGUAACCACUAUGCAUUAGGUCUUCUACAACCAAAUGGCUCAUUAUUCUUGCAUAUUUUGAUACAGUUAUAAAAUGAAGUAGCAUUUUAGUCUAGCAGAUAAAUGAGCAAUAUUGGUAAAGCAUUUUAUACAAAGAGUUCAAAAGUGAUUUUACCAGAGAUGCUUCGACUGUUGUAGAUGUAGGUAUAGUCUUCAGUCUUGCUAUGGGCUGGUGUUUGUUUCCACCAUCCGCUGUGUGCUGAUCGGAC
Sinocyclocheilus anshuiensis is the source of this 1580-nucleotide long non-coding RNA. The record is from Ensembl. Lineage: Eukaryota; Metazoa; Chordata; Actinopteri; Cypriniformes; Cyprinidae.